UGCUGAGUGCAUGCUACAUACAGAGCACUGAGCAAGAGCUAGGAUUAAAGAGGGGAGUAAGCUGGACACCGUGCUUCCUACGUGGAGCAUGUGACCAUGGGAAGGGCAGGCAGAGAUAAAUGAAAAUGACCCAGAUGAAUGCAUAAUUGCUAGCUAUAACAAAGUGUAUGGAGAAGAGGUGCCUGGCACAGUGAGAGUGAAUAAUUAGCAGUUAGCUCGAGGCGGUCAAGGAAGGCUUGCUUCUCUGUGGAAGGCACAUUUCCCUGCGAUCUGAAGGGAGCCCGGGUGACACCUCUCACAUGGCCUGCUUUAUAGUGCUUUGACUGCCUGUCUCCUGGACCAGCCACCUGGCUCUUUGAGGGACUGUGUCUUCUUCGGUUCUUGUUCUGCGCCUAGCACCUGGCACUGACAUGAUAAGCAUUCGUGAUCUGGAAUGACAUCAGCUGCAUGUGGUGACGCCGAUUCUCUCAUGAUAGCCAGAGCUGCUGGAAAGGCAGGAUUGCAGCUAGAAAUGACUAGCUGCAAUUAAUUUGUGCCGGGGUUGGAUUUAACGAAUUUUGAGGGACAGCCAUCCGCCCUUCUUUCAUCGUCCUGCUCCGGCUGCUUCUGCUCCCAGCUGCCCAGUGGAUCUUCCAGCCCUGCUCAAAGUCCUCGAUGACUCCCUGUGACCACAGAGGAAAUAGCAACCUCCUCAGCUUUUAAUGUAAGACCCUUGGCAAUCUGAUCUUUUCCUUAACUUUUCAGCCUUAGGUGGACCUGGGAAGUUUAAGCCUGAGUUCGAAUCUGGGCUCCACUGUGAAAACCUCGGGAAAUGUAUAUAACCUCAGUGCACUUUGGCUUCCUUAUCUAUAAAGUGGAAUCAAUUAUCCCUGUCUUAUCAACUAAAUAAGGAUGUUUGAGGAUCAGAUGAGGGGGUAUGGGUAUGCUCUUUCCACCUGAAAAGCGACGUACUGUUUUGGGGCCACAAUGGUUUCCUUUGCCUUGUCACCCUCAGUGACCAAGGUCCAGAUGGUCAUCAUUCAGAGCCCAGGGGAAACGCCAGGUCCUCUCUGAAGCUGUCGUCAUUACUCUGCCUGAAAUGCUUUCUUCCUCUCAGGUUUCCUAUAUCACGUUGCUUACCCUGCUCUCAAACACCUGUGAUGGCCUCGCCACACACAUCUUCCCAUAUCUGCCUCAUGUCCUUAGACUGUGAGCCCCUGGAGGGCAGGACGCUACUGAAAGCCACUCUGAUUUUCCCACCCACAGCGCUUCCUUACCUAGUCCCCCUGGCCCCGCCCACGAUCGGUGCUUGGUUGAGUACUUGUUGAAAGGAUGGGCGACAGUAGGAACGAAUAAAUGAAUUCGGGUAGAGUGAGGUGUACUAAAGCUGAAGAGAUGAGUAUGAUCCCCUCCGGAGCCUGUUUUACCGCCCCAAUUUUCACAAAUAGACAGGAUCUAGGGCGCUCACGCAGGAAGGGGUUAGGAGCAGCAAUCUGCUUGGAGGUUGGGGAGGGGCCGCUGUGUGCUGCAGAGGAACUCUCGCGUUACCUUCUCUGGGGACCAGGGUUAGGGGUGGGGCUGGGCACGCAACCAGAGCGGACCACGUUGAGUCUGUGCCCUACCUUGCCCCUCUCGGGGGCGUCGCCACCAGCGCUUUCGCGGCGUGGGGUCAGGGAAGAGUGGGGUUGUCUGGGAGCUGUGGAAGGGACUCCUGGCGACCUGAAUUAUGUUCCUCGCACGGGAGCACCUGGUUUAUUAUCAGGGGCUGAAACACACGAGAGAACAAAGGGCC
This is a long non-coding RNA of Phacochoerus africanus (Common warthog), 1771 nucleotides long. RefSeq lists it as uncharacterized. The transcript is spliced from 4 exons. NCBI's taxonomy places the organism in Eukaryota, Metazoa, Chordata, Mammalia, Artiodactyla, Suidae. The record is from RefSeq and is a predicted model, not a curated record.